GUAUCCUUUCCCAUCUCCCCACUCCAAAUCCAUGCACGUGGCCAGGAAGCCCUGGAUCCUGAACACAGCUUCUAGAAGGUUCCCCAUCUGGCAGCUGGCCUGGGGUGCCCCCACAGGGCAGGGGGAUCUGCUGAUCAUACCGUCUCCCUCAGUUCUGGGAAUCAGCCUCACAGUCAUCUCCGGAGACCUCCGGCAUCAGCUCGGCCUCCAGCAGCACCUCGUCCUCCUCAGCCUCCACCACACCCGUGGCUGCCACGCGCACCCACAAGCGCUCCGUCUCAGGGCUCUGCAACUCCAGCUCCGCGCUGCCGCUCUACAACCAGCAGGUGGGCGACUGCUGUAUCAUCCGCGUCAGCCUGGACGUGGACAACGGCAACAUGUACAAGAGCAUCCUGGUGACCAGCCAAGAUAAGGCUCCAGCCGUAAUCCGCAAGGCCAUGGACAAACACAACCUGGAGGAGGAGGAGCCGGAGGACUAUGAGCUGCUGCAGAUUCUCUCAGAUGACCGGAAGCUGAAGAUCCCUGAAAACGCCAACGUCUUCUAUGCCAUGAACUCUACCGCCAAUUAUGACUUUGUCCUGAAGAAGCGGACCUUCACCAAGGGAGUGAAGGUCAAGCAUGGAGCCAGCUCAACCCUCCCUCGCAUGAAGCAGAAGGGACUCAAGAUUGCCAAGGGCAUCUUCUGAGGGCAUCUUCCCAGGGUCUGGCUGGCUGGUAGCCAAGCACUUAUGGACCAGAGUGGCCCAGGCCAGCUGGGCACCUUCCUACCACCUGCCAGCCCAGGGUACCCCAGACUCCAGUUUCAUCCUGAACCUCUCCUGCUGCUGGGAUUGACGCCUGCCAUUGGUCAGGCUGACCUGGCCUCCCGUGGACCACUCGCUGCCUUAGGUGCCUUCUGCUCUCUGGAACCAGAGGACUAGCUGACUUUUGCCAAGGAGCAGUGCCAACGGGCAUGGCAUGGUGCCCUGCCUGCCCCCAGGCACCACCUCUGUACACUUCCCUGACACCUUCCCAGGUGUGGGUCACUGCCACCUGUGCCCAUGGGCACCCCA
This 1052-nucleotide small RNA is filed under the name Pongo abelii (Sumatran orangutan). Its description in RNAcentral is "retained intron". The record is from RNAcentral. Lineage: Eukaryota; Metazoa; Chordata; Mammalia; Primates; Hominidae.